RNAcentral lists this long non-coding RNA (457 nucleotides) under Homo sapiens (human). RNAcentral describes it as "HSALNT0384112". The record is from RNAcentral. Lineage: Eukaryota; Metazoa; Chordata; Mammalia; Primates; Hominidae.
UUUGUGUUUCCCCAGGAAAAGAACUACAGCCUGUGUGGGUCCCCUCCCGACAAUUAAAAUUGCACCAUAACUCCAAAGAUGAAACGCUCCCAGAAAGAAAAGGCAAAGACCCAUCGGAAACAAAAGAGCAACUUUCACCGCCUGAUACAUACACUUCAUGACAUCCACAUUGAGACAAAAUCUCGCCGUGUGACCUACAACACCUCUCGUUCAACCCCACCUACUUGGGGUCGAAUACAGAUUUUAUCUCAUCAAACAGAAAAAUUCUUAACAGAAAAAGGAAUCCCAAAAAUGACUGGUAAUAUAAUUCUGGCUGCCUUUAUGGUAGUCAGUGCAGCGUCUGCAGAUGCCUCUAAGGAGUCCGAAACCAAGUCCGAAGUCAACAACAAGCAAUGAUGGCGAUGGCGAUUCUAGUUAAUAAAAAGGGGGGAGAUGUGGGCGGCAAGCCACCCAGGCA